UACAUGGGGUGCAAACGUUGCUCGGAAUUAUUGGGCGUAAAGAGCUCGUAGGCGGUUUGUUGCGUCGGCUGUGAAAUCCCGAGGCUCAACCUCGGGUCUGCAGUCGAUACGAGCAAACUAGAGUGUUGCAGGGGAGACUGGAAUUCCUGGUGUAGCGGUGAAAUGCGCAGAUAUCAGGAGGAACACCGGUGGCGAAGGCGGGUCUCUGGGCAACAACUGACGCUGAGGAGCGAAAGCGUGGGGAGCGAACAGG
RNAcentral lists this ribosomal RNA (253 nucleotides) under uncultured bacterium. RNAcentral's name for it is "partial 16S ribosomal RNA". It matches the Rfam family "Bacterial small subunit ribosomal RNA", at positions 524 to 776 of the family's 1533-position model. The record is from RNAcentral.